AGUGAACGCUGGCGGUAGGCCUAACACAUGCAAGUCGAACGGCAGCACAGUAAGAGCUUGCUCUUACGGGUGGCGAGUGGCGGACGGGUGAGGAAUACAUCGGAAUCUACUUUUUCGUGGGGGAUAACGUAGGGAAACUUACGCUAAUACCGCAUACGACCUACGGGUGAAAGCAGUGGAUCUUCGGACCUUGCGCGAUUGAAUGAGCCGAUGUCGGAUUAGCUAGUUGGCGGGGUAAAGGCCCACCAAGGCGACGAUCCGUAGCUGGUCUGAGAGGAUGAUCAGCCACACUGGAACUGAGACACGGUCCAGACUCAUACGGGAGGCAGCAGUGGGGAAUAUUGGACAAAGGGCGCAAGCCUGAUCCAGCCAUACCGCGUGGGUGAAGAAGGCCUUCGGGUUGUAAAGCCCCUUUGUUGGGAAAGAAAAGCAGCAGGUUAAUACCCCGCUGUUCUGACGGUACCCAAAGAAUAAGCACCGGCUAACUUCGUG
RNAcentral lists this ribosomal RNA (492 nucleotides) under uncultured bacterium. Its description in RNAcentral is "partial 16S ribosomal RNA". It matches the Rfam family "Bacterial small subunit ribosomal RNA", at positions 29 to 507 of the family's 1533-position model. The record is from RNAcentral.